GAAUUUUCCGCAAUGGGCGCAAGCCUGACGGAGCAACGCCGCGUGCAGGACGACGGCCUUCGGGUUGUAAACUGCUUUUACCGGGGACGAUAUGGACGGUACCCGGCGAAUAAGCCCCGGCUAACUCCGUGCCAGCAGCCGCGGUAAUACGGAGGGGGCAAGCGUUGUCCGGACUUACUGGGCGUAAAGCGCACGUAGGCGGCGUCGUGCGUCGGCACUGAAAGCGCUCGGCUUAACCGAGCGAGGCGUGUCGAUACGACGAUGCUUGAGGCAAUGAGAGGUUGGUAGAAUUCCGGGUGUAGUGGGUGAAAUGCGUAGAGAUCCGGAGGAAUGCCUGUGGCGAAAGCGACCAACUGGUGUUGACCUGACGCUUGAGGUGCGAAAGCGUGGGGAGCGAACCGGAUUAGAUACCCGGGUAGUCCACGCGGUAAACGAUGUCGGCUCGGUGUGUGGCGAUGAUACAACCAUCGCUGCGUGCCCCAGUUUACACGGUAAGCCGACCGCCUGGGGACUACGAGCGCAAGCUUAAAACUCAAAGGAAUUGACGGGGGCCCGCACAAGCAGCGGAGCGUGUGGUUUAAUUCGACGCAACACGAAGAACCUUACCCAGGUUUGACAUGUUCCUGCAAGCCCACGGAGACGUGGGACCUACGAGGGUGGAACACAGGUGCUGCAUGGCUGUCGUCAGCUCGUGUCGUGAGAUGUUGGGUUAAGUCCCGCAACGAGCGCAACCCUCGCCGUCAGUUACCAGUGUCUGGCGGGACAGCCGUCUAGAGAGACGGAGGAAGGCGAGGAUGACGUCAAGUCCGCAUGGCCCUUACGCCUGGGGCGACACACACUGCUACAAUGGCCGGGACAAUGCGUUGCGACCCCGCAAGGGUGAGCUAAUCGCCAAACCCGGCCCCAGUUCA
RNAcentral lists this ribosomal RNA (911 nucleotides) under uncultured Chloroflexales bacterium. RNAcentral's name for it is "bacterial SSU rRNA". It matches the Rfam family "Bacterial small subunit ribosomal RNA", at positions 359 to 1295 of the family's 1533-position model. The record is from RNAcentral. Lineage: Bacteria; Bacillati; Chloroflexota; Chloroflexia; Chloroflexales.